UAGACAGAACCCGGGCGAAAGCCUGAUGCAGCGACGCCGCGUGAGGGAUGACGGCCUUCGGGUUGUAAACCUCUUUCAGCAGGGAAGAAGCGAAAGUGACGGUACCUGCAGAAGAAGCGCCGGCUAACUACGUGCCAGCAGCCGCGGUAAUACGUAGGGCGCAAGCGUUGUCCGGAUAUCAGCACAGCACGUAGGCGGCUUGUCACGUCGGUUGUGAAAGCCCGGGGCUUAACCCCGGGUCUGCAGUCGAUACGGGCAGGCUAGAGUUCGGUAGGGGAGAUCGGAAUUCCUGGUGUAGCGGUGAAAUGCGCAGAUAUCAGGAGGAACACCGGUGGCGAAGGCGGAUCUCUGGGCCGAUACUGACGCUGAGGAGCGAAAGCGUGGGGAGCGAACAGGAUUAGAUACCCUGGUAGUCCACGCCGUAAACGGUGGGCACUAGGUGUGGGCAACAUUCCACGUUGUCCGUGCCGCAGCUAACGCAUUAAGUGCCCCGCCUGGGGAGUACGGCCGCAAGGCUAAAACUCAAAGGAAUUGACGGGGGCCCGCACAAGCGGCGGAGCAUGUGGCUUAAUUCGACGCAACGCGAAGAACCUUACCAAGGCUUGACAUACACCGGAAAACCCUGGAGACAGGGUCCCCCUUGUGGUCGGUGUACAGGUGGUGCAUGGCUGUCGUCAGCUCGUGUCGUGAGAUGUUGGGUUAAGUCCCGCAACGAGCGCAACCCUUGUCCCGUGUUGCCAGCAGGCCCUUGUGGUGCUGGGGACUCACGGGAGACCGCCGGGGUCAACUCGGAGGAAGGUGGGGACGACGUCAAGUCAUCAUGCCCCUUAUGUCUUGGGCUGCACACGUGCUACAAUGGCCGGUACAAUGAGCUGCGAUACGCGAGGUGGAGCGAAUCUCAAAAAGCCGGUCUCAGUUCGGAUUGGGGUCUGCAACUCGACCCCAUGAGGGAAUUACCAGACGGCGAAAGCCUGAUGCAGCGACGCCGCGUGAGGGAUGACGGCCUUCGGGUUGUAAACCUCUUUCAGCAGGGAAGAAGUAGCAGCACGGAAGCGCCGGCUAACUACGUGCCAGCAGCCGCGGUAAUACGUAGGGCGCAAGCGUUGUCCGGAAUUAUUGGGCGUAAAGAGCUCGUAGGCGGCUUGUCACGUCGGUUGUGAAAGCCAGGCACGCAGCAU
RNAcentral lists this ribosomal RNA (1178 nucleotides) under Streptomyces rochei. RNAcentral's name for it is "bacterial SSU rRNA". It matches the Rfam family "Bacterial small subunit ribosomal RNA", at positions 359 to 1533 of the family's 1533-position model. The record is from RNAcentral. Lineage: Bacteria; Bacillati; Actinomycetota; Actinomycetes; Kitasatosporales; Streptomycetaceae. RNAcentral also lists the same sequence under 1 other name.